CCCUUAGAUGUUCUGGGCCGCACACGCGCUACACUGAAGGAGGCAGCGUGUACUCCUGGAUCGAAAGAUUUGGGUAACCCGCGAAUCUCCUUCGUGCUAGGGAUUGAGGUUUGCAAUUAUCCUUCAUGAACGAGGAAUUCCCAGUAAGUGCAAGUCAUAAGCUUGCGCUGACUACGUCCCUGCCCUUUGUACACACCGCCCGUCGCUACUACCGAUUGAAUGAUUUAGUGAGGACUUCGGACUGGGACCGAUGCGGCUUUCGGGCUGCGUCGGUAUUCUGGAAAGAUGUCCAAACUGUAUCAUUUAGAGGAAGUAAAAAUCGUAACA
Molecule: ribosomal RNA, 327 nt
Filed under: uncultured eukaryote
Lineage: Eukaryota
Description: partial 18S ribosomal RNA
Rfam family: Eukaryotic small subunit ribosomal RNA
Source: RNAcentral